CAGCCGCCGCGGUAAUGCGAAGGGGGCUAGCGUUGCUCGGAAUGACUGGGCGUAAAGGGCGCGUAGGCGGUUUGUCGAGUUAGAUGUGAAAUUCCCGGGCUUAACCUGGGGACUGCAUUUGAUACUGGCAGGCUUGAGUGUGGAAGAGGGUCGUGGAAUUCCCAGUGUCGAGGUGAAAUUCGUAGAUAUUGGGAAGAACAUCGGUGGCGAAGGCGGCGACCUGGUCCAUAACUGACGCUGAGGCGCGAAAGCGUGGGGAGCAAACAGGAUUAGAUACCCCAGUAGUCCCUGUCUCUUAUAC
Molecule: ribosomal RNA, 301 nt
Filed under: uncultured bacterium
Lineage: Bacteria
Description: partial 16S ribosomal RNA
Rfam family: Bacterial small subunit ribosomal RNA
Source: RNAcentral